This 748-nucleotide ribosomal RNA is filed under the name Streptomyces thermospinosisporus. Its description in RNAcentral is "bacterial SSU rRNA". It matches the Rfam family "Bacterial small subunit ribosomal RNA", at positions 49 to 814 of the family's 1533-position model. The record is from RNAcentral. Lineage: Bacteria; Bacillati; Actinomycetota; Actinomycetes; Kitasatosporales; Streptomycetaceae.
CUACCAUGCAGUCGACGAUGACCACCUUCGGGUGGGGAUUAGUGGCGAACGGGUGAGUAACACGUGGGCAAUCUGCCCUGCACUCUGGGACAAGCCCUGGAAACGGGGUCUAAUACCGGAUACUGACCUGCCAAGGCAUCUUGGCGGGUCGAAAGCUCCGGCGGUGCAGGAUGAGCCCGCGGCCUAUCAGCUUGUUGGUGAGGUAAUGGCUCACCAAGGCGACGACGGGUAGCCGGCCUGAGAGGGCGACCGGCCACACUGGGACUGAGACACGGCCCAGACUCCUACGGGAGGCAGCAGUGGGGAAUAUUGCACAAUGGGCGAAAGCCUGAUGCAGCGACGCCGCGUGAGGGAUGACGGCCUUCGGGUUGUAAACCUCUUUCAGCAGGGAAGAAGCGAAAGUGACGGUACCUGCAGAAGAAGCGCCGGCUAACUACGUGCCAGCAGCCGCGGUAAUACGUAGGGCGCAAGCGUUGUCCGGAAUUAUUGGGCGUAAAGAGCUCGUAGGCGGCUUGUCGCGUCGGUUGUGAAAGCCCGGGGCUUAACCCCGGGUCUGCAGUCGAUACGGGCAGGCUAGAGUUCGGUAGGGGAGAUCGGAAUUCCUGGUGUAGCGGUGAAAUGCGCAGAUAUCAGGAGGAACACCGGUGGCGAAGGCGGAUCUCUGGGCCGAUACUGACGCUGAGGAGCGAAAGCGUGGGGAGCGAACAGGAUUAGAUACCCCUGGUAGUCCACNCCGUAAACGGUGGGC